Long non-coding RNA from Panicum virgatum (switchgrass), 1001 nucleotides. RefSeq lists it as uncharacterized. The record is from RefSeq and is a predicted model, not a curated record. NCBI's taxonomy places the organism in Eukaryota, Viridiplantae, Streptophyta, Magnoliopsida, Poales, Poaceae. The transcript is spliced from 2 exons.
GUACCGUCCCACAAACUUAAGAACCUCGUCGAUCAGCACCACUGGGAAGGCCACUGCUAUCACCAAGAGCCAUUCGUUGAAACUGAGGGGCACAAUCCCAAACACCUGAGCGAGGAAAGGCACAUAGAGGAUCAAGAAAUGCAGCCCAAAAGACACAGACAUGGCCAGAAGAAGCCACGGGUUAACCCAUGGUGGCAUGCUCAGAAGGCUGCCAUCCUCCGACAGGGCAUUAAGCGAGUUGAACAUCUCAAUGGCCACCAAGACCGACAAAGACAGGGUCGUCGCUUUAAUCUUGCCACCCUGGAAGUAAUCGCACGGGUUCGCAUCAAAGCCAAAGGUCCUUGCUCCUGCUGUGAAUGGUGACACCUUGAAGCCCUCCCAUGUGGAGCACUGGCCCCAGUUUGAUAGCUGGGAGUAUGACACAAGAGUAUGACCAUCACUGGCCAGGUCGAUUCCCAGGAAAGAGCCAUGUGUGUACCAGAUGAUGAAGAUACCCACUGUUGCAAUCCCAACAUAAAGGCCAAUAACCUACACAUGCCAAGACAAGGAUCUCAGGUGAAUUGGUGUCAUUCAACAGGGAUGAAGAGCUUCGUGAGACUAGCCACAAGGCAUAACCUUUACAGGUUUACUAAUAAUUCAAUAUUCACUGCUAAAAUUUAGUCUUUCAUUUAAAAAUAUGUAUAAAAUGCAAGGCAGGUUCAUUGAAAAAAGCGCACGACAUAUUAACUUCAAAUCCAUCAGCCAAUAACAUGAAUUGCUAGAAAACAUACCAUAUACCGAAAAAGGAUCCAAGGGGUGAUCAAUGAGUCAUCACUUCUUCGGGGAGGUUUCUUCAUGAUAUCUUUAUCAGGCGGGUUGAAACCCAAAGCUGUCGCAGGAGGGCCAUCUGUGACAAGAUUGACCCAAAGAAGUUGAACCGGGAUGAGGCCUUCUGGGAUACCCAAAGCUGAUGUCAGGAAUAUAGACGCAACUUCUCCGAUGUUCGAGGAUAUCAUAUAUCU